This 22-nucleotide unclassified non-coding RNA is filed under the name Mus musculus (house mouse). Its description in RNAcentral is "oocyte_clustered_small_RNA10284". The record is from RNAcentral. Lineage: Eukaryota; Metazoa; Chordata; Mammalia; Rodentia; Muridae.
CUCCAGGAAGCACACCGGCAGG